RNAcentral lists this ribosomal RNA (1042 nucleotides) under uncultured bacterium. RNAcentral describes it as "bacterial SSU rRNA". It matches the Rfam family "Bacterial small subunit ribosomal RNA", at positions 33 to 1065 of the family's 1533-position model. The record is from RNAcentral.
GCACCUGCGCCUGCUAUCAUGCAGUCGAGCGAUGCAAGGAGCUUGCUCCUUUGAUUUAGCGGCGGACGGGUGAGUAACACGUGGGUAACCUACCCUAUAGACUGGGAUAACUUCGGGAAACCGGAGCUAAUACCGGAUAAUACUUCGAAACACAUGUUUUGGAAGUUGAAAGAUGGUUUCGGCUAUCACUAUAGGAUGGACCCGCGGCGCAUUAGCUAGUUGGUGGGGUAAUGGUUCACCAAGGCAACGAUGCGUAUCCUUACCUGAGAGGGUGAUCGGCCACACUGGGACUGAGACACGGGCCCAGACUCCUACGGGAGGCAGCAGUAGGGAAUCUUCCACAAUGGACGAAAGUCUGAUGGAGCAACGCCGCGUGAGUGAAGAAGGUUUUCGGAUCGUAAAACUCUGUUGUUAGAGAAGAACAAGGAUGAGAGUGACUGCUCGUCCCUUGACGGUAUCUAACCAGAAAGCCAUGGCUAACUACGUGCCAGCAGCCGCGGUAAUACGUAGGGGGCAAGCGUUGUCCGGAAUUAUGGGCGUAAAGCGCGCGCAGGCGGUUAAUUAAGUCUGGUGUCUAAGGCUGAGGCUCAACCUCAGUUCGCACUGGAAACUGGUUAACUUGAGUACAGAAGAGGAAAGUGGAAUUCCACGUGUAGCGGUGAAAUGCGUAGAUAUGUGGAGGAACACCAGUGGCGAAGGCGACUUUCUGGGCUGUAACUGACGCUGAGGCGCGAAAGCGUGGGUAGCAAACAGGAUUAGAUACCCUGGUAGUCCACGCCGUAAACGAUGAGUGCUAGGUGUUAGGGGUUUCGAUACCCUUGGUGCCGAAGUUAACACAUUAAGCACUCCGCCUGGGGAGUACGGUCGCAAGACUGAAACUCAAAGGAAUUGACGGGGACCCGCACAAGCAGUGGAGUAUGUGGUUUAAUUCGAAGCAACGCGAAGAACCUUACCAGGUCUUGACAUCCCUCUGAAUCCACUAGAGAUAGUGGCGGCCUUCGGGACAGAGGAGACAGGUGGUGCAUGGUGUCGGAGCCGGCGA